This 397-nucleotide ribosomal RNA is filed under the name uncultured bacterium. RNAcentral's name for it is "bacterial SSU rRNA". It matches the Rfam family "Bacterial small subunit ribosomal RNA", at positions 29 to 416 of the family's 1533-position model. The record is from RNAcentral.
AACGAACGCUGGCGGCGUGGAUAAGACAUGCAAGUCGAACGGGAGUUUAUUUAUAGCAAUAUGAGUGAACUCUAGUGGCGAAAGGGUGCGUAACACGUAGCUACCUACCUCGAAGUUGGGGAUAGCUCGGCGAAAGCCGGAUUAAUACCGCAUAAGCUCUGAGGAGGAAAGCGGGGGACCUGGUAACGGGCCUCGCGCUGUUGGAGCGGCCGAUGUCGGAUUAGCUAGUUGGNGGGGUAAAGGCCCACCAAGGCGACGAUCCGUAGCUGGUCUGAGAGGAUGAUCAGCCACACUGGAACUGAGACACGGUCCAGACUCCUACGGGAGGCAGCAGUGGGGAAUUUUGGACAAGUGGGGGCAACCCUGAUCCAGCCAUUCCGCGUGAGUGAAGAAGGCC